AUCGCUUCUCGGCCUUUUGGCUAAGAUCAAGUGUAGUAUCUGCUCUUAUCAGUUUAAUAUCUGAUACGUCCCCUACCCGGGGACCCAUGCAUUCAUGUAGAAACAUCAGUUUAACGUUGCUGAUUUCAUCAGGAUAUAUUCUGCUGACCAGACAGAAUCAAUAAAGUUUUGUUUCAACACAUCAUC
Molecule: small nuclear RNA, 186 nt
Filed under: Echeneis naucrates (live sharksucker)
Lineage: Eukaryota; Metazoa; Chordata; Actinopteri; Carangiformes; Echeneidae
Description: U2 spliceosomal RNA (ENSENLG00000008267.1)
Rfam family: U2 spliceosomal RNA
About the family: U2 is a small nuclear RNA (snRNA) component of the spliceosome (involved in pre-mRNA splicing). Complementary binding between U2 snRNA (in an area lying towards the 5' end but 3' to hairpin I) and the branchpoint sequence (BPS) of the intron results the bulging out of an unpaired adenosine, on the BPS, which initiates a nucleophilic attack at the intronic 5' splice site, thus starting the first of two transesterification reactions that mediate splicing.
Source: Rfam by way of RNAcentral